Molecule: unclassified non-coding RNA, 347 nt
Filed under: Tephroseris integrifolia subsp. capitata
Lineage: Eukaryota; Viridiplantae; Streptophyta; Magnoliopsida; Asterales; Asteraceae
Description: partial external transcribed spacer
Source: RNAcentral
CAACUUCCACCUGGCUUACCUCCUCAGUUAUGCGUCAAGGCUUGUAUCGCCUAGAGCGUAUUGUUGGUUUUCUGUAUUGGAUACCUAAUCGAAGGUAUUAUUUUGAUCGAUUGGAGUCCCUUUUCGUCUUGUGUUGCAUUUUGUGUCGCAUGAUGAACUUUGAAGCGGUCUCUAUGAUCCAUCACGUUGAUGCACUUGCAUUGAUGUUGUGGCCCAUUGAGCUUUGUUUGGUUUCUUGGAUAUGGAACAUGAAGUGGGCAUGGGGCUGUCAUGAUCCUCUUUUUGCCCUCGUAUGGUGUUCUCGAACGACGGGUCAUGCGCGCCUAGGCUCGUACCUGCGUGAUGAU